CAAAAUCAAUCAAUUAGAGUGUGAUCUCGAUCCUGUUCUCUUCCUUUUUCACUUACUUCUCUCCAAGUUAAAUCUUCACAACUAUCUUCUCUGUCCAAUCUAAUGCUUUUUGGCAUAAGAUAAGUAAAGCAGUUAUUAAUAGCAAAAAGAAGUCAUGGAUGGUUCUCCCUGCUCUCCAGAACUUGACUCUAAAGUUUCAGAGCUCAAAUCAGAAACUCAGGCCUCCAAAAGAAGGAAGCUGGUUGAGAAGACUGUUGUUACAGUGAGGAUUGGAGAAAAUGCUGGGAAAGUAAAGCAUGAAGGGCCACCUUCUGAUUUUUGGUCUUGGAGGAAAUAUGGGCAAAAACCGAUCAAGGGAUCUCCCUAUCCAAGGGGCUAUUACAGGUGCAGCACAUCAAAGGGCUGUUCAGCCAAAAAACAAGUGGAGAGAUGCAGAACAGAUGCUUCUUUACUGAUAAUUACGUACACCUCGACCCACAACCACCCAGGUCCUGAUAUCCAUAGUACCAACCUCAACCAACAACUAAACGAAUCCCAAGCCCCAUCCACAGAUGAAGAUCGUCCUACAACUCCAAAACAAGAACAACAGGAAGAGGAGAAUCAUAAUCAACCCACUGUUUCAAUCAGUCCAAAAGAUGACAAUGAAGGCCACAAUUUUCACUACUUACAAUCCCCAAUAAACUGUUCUCAAGAUAUCAUGAUUAGCCAAGAAGAUCCGUUCACUGAGAACCCUACAGAAAAAACUGAUGACACACUGGAUAUUCUCUUAGAUGAAGAGCCCAUCUCUUGCCCUAGAAUGAUGACACUUGCAACACCCAAAUCAGAAGAAAAUGACUUCUUUGA
Molecule: unclassified non-coding RNA, 843 nt
Filed under: Hevea brasiliensis (rubber tree)
Lineage: Eukaryota; Viridiplantae; Streptophyta; Magnoliopsida; Malpighiales; Euphorbiaceae
Source: RNAcentral